Molecule: long non-coding RNA, 285 nt
Filed under: Lathyrus oleraceus (garden pea)
Lineage: Eukaryota; Viridiplantae; Streptophyta; Magnoliopsida; Fabales; Fabaceae
Description: Pisum sativum (pea) long non-coding RNA (PSAT_LNC013281)
Source: RNAcentral
GGAUUUGCAGAUUUAAGUGAAUGAUUUUCGAAUUAAAAAUUAUGUAUUUAUAGGUCAUGCAUGUGUUGUUUCAUAAGUUUGCAUCUCUUGAUGAAAAAACAACUUUUCACCAUAUGUUGCAAUGGUUCACCUAUGAUAAUACAAUGCACCACUUCAUGAAGUGUUGUAUUUUUAAAAUUGAAAUUCAAACUGUAAGUAACAACCAAAAUUCUGGAGCAAUACUCAUCCGGAGCGCCGCCACAUUAACGUCGUGAAUAACCCGAUUGCUCAAGUGCCACCUACAAG